UACGUAGGUGGCUAGCGUUGUCCGGAUUUACUGGGCGUAAAGAGCGCGCAGGCGGUCGUUCAAGUCGAGUGUGAAAGCCCCCGGCUCAACUGGGGAGGGUCACUCGAUACUGAUCGACUCGAAGGCAGGAGAGGGAAGCGGAAUUCCCGGUGUAGUGGUGAAAUGCGUAGAUAUCGGGAGGAACACCAGUGGCGAAGGCGGCUUCUGGCCUGUUCUUGGACGGCUGAGGCGCGAAAGCUAGGGUAGCAAACGGGA
This 255-nucleotide ribosomal RNA is filed under the name uncultured bacterium. RNAcentral describes it as "partial 16S ribosomal RNA". It matches the Rfam family "Bacterial small subunit ribosomal RNA", at positions 524 to 777 of the family's 1533-position model. The record is from RNAcentral.